GAUCCUGGCUCAGAACGAACGCUGGCGGCGUGCUUAACACAUGCAAGUCGAACGCGAAAGGGACUUCGGUCCUGAGUAAAGUGGCGCACGGGUGAGUAACGCGUGGAUAAUCUACCCGAUGGACCGGGAUAACAUUUCGAAAGGGGUGCUAAUACCGGAUAAGACCACGGCUUCUUAGGGGGCUGCGGUAAAAGGUGGGGACCUUCGGGCCUACCGUCAUCGGAUGAGUCCGCGUACCAUUAGCUAGUUGGUAGGGUAAGGGCCUACCAAGGCGACGAUGGUUAGCUGGUCUGAGAGGAUGAUCAGCCACACUGGAACUGAGACACGGUCCAGACUCCUACGGGAGGCAGCAGUGGGGAAUUUUGCGCAAUGGGGGAAACCCUGACGCAGCAACGCCGCGUGAGUGAAUGAAGGCCUUCGGGUCGUAAAGCUCUGUCAGAGGGGAAGAAGUGCAGGGGUGCUAAUAUCACCUUUGCUUGACGGUACCCUCAAAGGAAGCACCGGCUAACUCCGUGCCAGCCGCCGC
RNAcentral lists this ribosomal RNA (526 nucleotides) under uncultured bacterium. RNAcentral describes it as "bacterial SSU rRNA". It matches the Rfam family "Bacterial small subunit ribosomal RNA", at positions 15 to 518 of the family's 1533-position model. The record is from RNAcentral.